GAAAUGCGAUAAGUAAUGUGAAUUGCAGAAUUCAGUGAAUCAUCGAAUCUUUGAACGCACCUUGCGCUCCUUGGUAUUCCUUGGAGCAUGCCUGUUUGAGUAUCAUGAAAUCUUCAAAGUAAAUCUUUUGUUAACUCAAUUGGUUUCUACUUUGGUAUUGGAGGUCUUUGCAGCCUCACACCUGCUCCUCUUUGUUCAUUAGCUGGAUCUCAGUGUUAUGCUUGGUUCCACUCGGCGUGAUAAGUUAUCUAUCGCUGAGGACACUGUAAAAGGUGGCCAAGGUAAAUGCAGAUGAACCGCUUCUAAUAGUCCAUUGACUUGGACAAUACUUUUAUGAUCUGAUCUCAAAUCAGGUAGGACUACCCGCUGAACUUAAGC
This 378-nucleotide unclassified non-coding RNA is filed under the name plant metagenome. RNAcentral describes it as "partial contains 5.8S ribosomal RNA, internal transcribed spacer 2, and large subunit ribosomal RNA". The stretch from base 1 to 105 matches the Rfam family "5.8S ribosomal RNA", at positions 50 to 154 of the family's 154-position model. The record is from RNAcentral.